GCUCCCUUGUGCGCAUGUGUGACUUUGCCGCACAUACUUCAUAGGGCGGCAUUCAUGCCGCCCUCUGAAGUCCUGAGCGCACUACCGCGCAUGCGUGCGGUGUGCGCAGCCGCGAGCUGAGCUGACUGACAGCUCAGCUCGCGGUCUUUGCCCGCCCCCUCUCCUCUGCUGACAGGCAGAAGAGAGAAGGCGCGCACACAGUGCC
Molecule: non-coding RNA, 205 nt
Organism: Pelobates cultripes (western spadefoot toad)
Lineage: Eukaryota; Metazoa; Chordata; Amphibia; Anura; Pelobatidae
Source: the annotation of a GenBank genome assembly